RNAcentral lists this long non-coding RNA (619 nucleotides) under Linum usitatissimum (flax). Its description in RNAcentral is "long non-coding RNA (LUSI_LNC003801)". Lineage: Eukaryota; Viridiplantae; Streptophyta; Magnoliopsida; Malpighiales; Linaceae. The record is from RNAcentral.
AUAAUACUAGUUAUAUUGUAUCGAACUCAACCAACCAGCCUAGCCUUAACUCAAUUCAAUCUAAUUCAUGAUGCCAAUUGAAUAAAUGAUAUCCCUAUUUCGAUAACUUUACGACUCAAUAAACCUCUAAACCCUCGAAUACUAUUCAUUCAACCCGACAUCCAUGAACCAACCGGUUCGACACAUCAAACCCCAGGAAGCGUGCUAAAAAAAAGGAAGGCAAAAAGCAACUCAAAAACAUUUUUACAAAACUCCUUCUCCCUCCCUAUCAUUAUUUAUCCCCAUCAUCUCCUUCCUCUGCUUCCUUCAUUCAUUCAUCAUCUCCCAACUUUGCCCCUCUGUUUCCAUUGCAUCUGCUCUCUCUGAACUUGUUGCUAUCUCGUUGCAUCUUUCAUUUCGUCGACGUUUUCCAGAACUGCAAAAGAAGGUAGGCAUAGGUUAGCUUGGAAGUGAUUUUUUUGUAUUAAUGCUUACAAGGUGUUCGACGUAUUGCUUGCGUAGGUGUUAUGUAAUAUGGUUAGUUGAGAAAUUUCGCUUACAUUUCUCUUCUUUCUUCAACCCACUCUUUCCUUUUGUAUUUUUGAUGCAGUGGCAGUCAAAGGCUAUGGAGGGUGGUUGU